This 72-nucleotide transfer RNA is filed under the name Camelus dromedarius (Arabian camel). It matches the Rfam family "tRNA". From Rfam's summary of the family: Transfer RNA (tRNA) molecules are approximately 80 nucleotides in length. Their secondary structure includes four short double-helical elements and three loops (D, anti-codon, and T loops). Lineage: Eukaryota; Metazoa; Chordata; Mammalia; Artiodactyla; Camelidae. RNAcentral also lists the same sequence under 1 other name. The record is from Rfam by way of RNAcentral.
GAUGGUAUAGCUCAGAGGUAGAGUGCCUGCUUAGCAUGCACGAGGUCCUGGGUUCAAUCCCCAGUACCUCCA